AACUAGUAUUAGAGGCACUGCCUGCCCAGUGACAAUCGUUAAACGGCCGCGGUAUCUUGACCGUGCAAAGGUAGCAUAAUCACUUGUUCUCUAAAUAAGGACUUGUAUGAAUGGCCACACGAGGGUUUUACUGUCUCUUACUCCUAAUCAGUGAAAUUGACCUCCCCGUGAAGAGGCGGGGAUAACACAAUAAGACGAGAAGACCCUAUGGAGCUUCAAUUAAUCAACUCAAAAAGCAUAAAACAAUACCACCAAGGGAUAACAAAGCUUUAUAUGAGCUGACAAUUUCGGUUGGGGUGACCUCGGAGUAUAAAAAACCCUCCGAGUGAUUAAAACUUAGGCCUACUAGCCAAAGUACAGUAUCACAUAUUGAUCCAAAAUUUUGAUCAACGGAACAAGUUACCCUAGGGAUAACAGCGCAAUCCUAUUCUAGAGUCCAUAUCGACAAUAGGGUUUACGACCUCGAUGUUGGAUCAGGACAUCCUAAUGGUGCAGCAGCUAUUAAGGGUUCGUUUGUU
Molecule: ribosomal RNA, 518 nt
Filed under: Globicephala melas (long-finned pilot whale)
Lineage: Eukaryota; Metazoa; Chordata; Mammalia; Artiodactyla; Delphinidae
Description: partial 16S ribosomal RNA
Rfam family: Bacterial large subunit ribosomal RNA
Source: RNAcentral